AACGAACGCUGGCGGCAGGCUUAACACAUGCAAGUCGAACGAUAGCCUCCGGGUGAGCGUGGCUCACGGGUGCGUAACGCGGGGGAAUCUGCCGUUAGGCUCGGAAUAACAGCUGGAAACGGCUGCUAAUACCGGAGGAUGUCGCGAGAUUAAAGAUUUAUCGCCUGAGGAUGAGUCCGCGUUGGAUUAGGUAGUUGGUGGGGUAGAGGCAUACCAAGCCGACGAUCCAUAUCUGGUCUGAGAGGAUGAUCAGCCACACUGGGACUGAGACACGGACCAGACUCCUACGGGAGGCAGCAGUGGGGAAUAUUGGACAGCGGGGGCAAGCCUGAUCAAGCAAUGCCGCGUGAGUGAUGAAGGCCGUAGAGUUGUAAAGCGCUUUUAACCGGGAAGAUAAUGACUGUACCGGAAGAAUAAGCCCCGGCUAACUCCGUG
Molecule: ribosomal RNA, 435 nt
Filed under: uncultured bacterium
Lineage: Bacteria
Description: partial 16S ribosomal RNA
Rfam family: Bacterial small subunit ribosomal RNA
Source: RNAcentral